AGGAGUGCAUUUCAGAGCUCCAGGGAGAGGCUUGGUGAGAAGUCCAAAGCCAGGAAGAGGGGAGCUAUAGAAACCCUGGAGAGGUGACAGCUGCACUGCUGCAAGGACUGGAGCUGAUGGUGGGGAGCUGAAGCAUGAACCCUGCAAAAUGUGCUGCAACUGAGUGUUUCUGUGAAACUGGCCACUGAGAAAUGGACAGUGGGAAUCAAAGAUCAGAUCUCCCCUGGAGAAGGGAAGAAAACCUGGAGACAAGACACAGAAGCAGACAGAAAUGAAGGCACUGGCUCUGGGCUAGAUCCAGGGAGAUGCGACUAGUAGAAAGGAGGAGUAGGUCACCCUUUGCAGUCUUUAAUCCUGGGUUCCCUCUGAAUCAGGUCAGCCCUUAAUGUAGUUUAGAACUGCAAAGACAGCAUCAUUAACUGAGGAGUUUUAUGGAACCUGAGUAUCUGUGGGCACAGGGGAGCCCUGGCCCUACAUUUGACUCUUGACGAGGACAUUGCACAGGGCACGCUCCAGGGACUUUAUUUUACUGGAGCUUCCCUUCCCCCUGCCAGAAAUCUGGAGAUCAUCAAUAUCUUUCUUAUGUCCUCAAAGCCAGUGACUUAAAAGCAAGUGAUGUAAAAGAAGUGGCUUAAA
Alligator sinensis (Chinese alligator) is the source of this 636-nucleotide long non-coding RNA. RefSeq lists it as uncharacterized. The record is from RefSeq and is a predicted model, not a curated record. Lineage: Eukaryota; Metazoa; Chordata; Crocodylia; Alligatoridae. The transcript has 3 exons.